GACGGAGGGUGCUAGCGUUGUUCGGAAUUACUGGGCGUAAAGGGCGCGUAGGCGGCCGCUCGCGUCGGAUGUGAAAGCCCGGGGCUCAACCCCGGAACGGCAUCCGAUACGGGGCGGCUGGAGACCGGGAGAGGAGGGUGGAAUAGCCAGUGUAGAGGUGAAAUUCGUAGAUAUUGGCUGGAACACCGGUGGCGAAAGCGGCUCUCUGGCCCUGUUCUGACGCUGAGGCGCGAAAGCGUGGGGAGCGAACAGG
This 253-nucleotide ribosomal RNA is filed under the name uncultured bacterium. RNAcentral describes it as "partial 16S ribosomal RNA". It matches the Rfam family "Bacterial small subunit ribosomal RNA", at positions 524 to 776 of the family's 1533-position model. The record is from RNAcentral.